Saccostrea echinata is the source of this 244-nucleotide long non-coding RNA. RefSeq lists it as uncharacterized. NCBI's taxonomy places the organism in Eukaryota, Metazoa, Mollusca, Bivalvia, Ostreida, Ostreidae. The transcript is spliced from 3 exons. The record is from RefSeq and is a predicted model, not a curated record.
ACAUCAUAAUGAAGGCAACACUGAUCUGCUUCGUACUUCUUUUGGGAAUCAACCUUGCGUUCGCCACCUUUUUAGGGGCACAUAACGCAAAGCGACGCCGUCCAUAUGCCGCAAACAUGAGAGCAAUGGUGUGGAAUAGGGAGUUAGCAAAUAUGGCAAGAAACUGGGCAAGUAGAUGCAUCAAAGGCCACAAUCCGAACAGAAGUUCAAACAGGUUUUCCUACGUCGGCGAAAACAUUUUUUG